AUAAAUGUAUUGAAAUGUAAAGUGUAAGUAUUUAAAUAAAACAGCAUUUUACACCUGACAAGUCUGUUAUUAAUCAGCAUAGAUAGAGGAAUGCAUUGGUGGGAUUUGAAUUUAGCGUGUAAAGG
Molecule: long non-coding RNA, 125 nt
Organism: Nanorana parkeri
Lineage: Eukaryota; Metazoa; Chordata; Amphibia; Anura; Dicroglossidae
Exons: 3
Source: RefSeq, a predicted model, not a curated record